AUUUUUGAUAUUUAAUCACCAGUAAUGUGGAUAUAACGACUAAGUGGGUAAAGGCAAAUAAUCAAACGGUUACAAAAGUCUGGUAAGGUGAGAAAAUUACAA
Molecule: long non-coding RNA, 102 nt
Organism: Etheostoma spectabile (orangethroat darter)
Lineage: Eukaryota; Metazoa; Chordata; Actinopteri; Perciformes; Percidae
Exons: 3
Source: RefSeq, a predicted model, not a curated record